Molecule: long non-coding RNA, 1170 nt
Filed under: Canis lupus familiaris (dog)
Lineage: Eukaryota; Metazoa; Chordata; Mammalia; Carnivora; Canidae
Description: lncRNA (ENSCAFG00000053403.1, ENSCAFG00845021245.1)
Source: RNAcentral
AUGUUAUAUAUACUUUUUUGUUUUAAUAUCUUCAUAUUUUUAAUUUAAAAGAUGACGAGUUCAUUUUAAAAAUCACUACAUUUUUUAAAAAGUUGAAAAUGCAUAAAUAACGCAGAAUUAAAGUAUCAAUAUUGUAUACAGCUCAUAUAAAUCCAUCAGAUAAAUACUAAGACCAUGUUAGACAAUGGAACAGAAGUCAAGAGUCAAUAAAUUCAAAUAAAAGGAAAUAUAAAUAGAUCAAAUAUGCACAGUAAAAAACAAAGUUUCAUCAACCCAGUAGUAAAAAAGAAAUUAAAUAUUUAAGUGCUGUCAUGUCUUGAAUUUUAAAAAAUAUUAAAAAUAUAUUCAUUUUCGGCACUGCUAAUAGAUAAAUUAAUAGAAUUUGUGAAAAGCAACUUCUCAAUACCUAUCAAGAGUUCUGAAGUGUUUAUACUCUUUGGUUAAAUAAUACCAUUUCUAGGAAUCUUGUAUAGAAAUUAUUCUUAUACACCAGCAAGUAUUUUUUAUUACAAAGAGGGUGAUAUUUACUGAAUGCUUAUGCCAUGCACCAAGUAUGGUGCUAAAAUCAUAUGAAAUCGGAGGUGUCAUAAUCUCAAUCUCACAAAUAAGGAGACUUGGGCUACAUUACUGCCCAAAUUACUCAGCCGGCAGGUACUAUGGCCCCAUCCAAACCCAGGCAGUGUGAUUCUAUAACCCAUAUAUUUUUUUUAAUUUAAUUUUUUUGAGAGAGAGAGAGAGAGAGAGAGCACAAGCAAGGAGGAGAAGCAGAGGGAAAGGGAGAAGCAGACUCUCCGCUGAGCAGGGAGCCUAAUGCAGGGUUUGAUCCCAGAGCCCCAAGAUCAUGACCUGACCAAAAGCAGAAGCUUAACUGACUGAGCCACCCAGGCAAUCCUAGAAUCCAUAUUUUUAAGUGCCACACUAUACUGGAGCAUUGCAGCAUUGUUUCUAAUUGUCAAAAACAAAACCGAACACUUCUUAACAAUUCAAUAAACAGCAUGAGACAACUAUUCAUGGAGAAGAAAUGAAAGGGGAAAAAAAACUGGCAACAACCUUAAUAUCCAAUAGUAGGCAAAUAGCACAAUAAAGUUUGGUACUAUGUUUAUGUGCAAUAAGAGAAGGGAGAUUACUCAUUUCAGAAAAAUGUCAGUACAUGGGAGAAUAGGCAUCUUA